GGGGGGUGGGGGGGUGGGGUGUGUGCGGUGGUGGGUGUGGUUGUGUGAAAUCUGAAUAUCAUCUCCAAAGCCAUUGAUAAUUUUCAGGUCUAUAUGAAUAGGCAAUCCACAUUAUGGGGUCUGAUACAGUAGCUAACCAGCAAGGACAUUUUUUCUUUGCAAAACACCCUCUUCUUGGUACAGGACAAAUGACUUUAAUUAAACUAGAUUUUCAAUUCAGUGAUGUCCUUUCUAACCAUGCAAUAGAUUCAUCAUAAGUUUUCUUCUCAAUCAAGUCAAGGUGACAGAUGAAAGUACUUGUGUACAUAUUGCUUAAAACAAACUUAGGCAUCAAUCAUGGAUAGAGGUUGACAUUCAGUUGGUUUGGUUAAACUGAACCAAAAUUUAGGAGUAACUAUUAUCACUGCAGCCUUUUAAAACAGACUCAGUCAAACCCAAAUAUGGCUACAGUAACUUCAGUUGUUGGUGGCUUUUAAAUAAGCCAUUUUUCAUAUUAGACCUUUUCAAAAGGUCCCUAGGACCCAUAUAGAAUAUGGGAAGAAAAACAAAAACAAAGACAACCAAUCCAA
This 569-nucleotide unclassified non-coding RNA is filed under the name Hevea brasiliensis (rubber tree). Lineage: Eukaryota; Viridiplantae; Streptophyta; Magnoliopsida; Malpighiales; Euphorbiaceae. The record is from RNAcentral.